CGGGGCGUGGCGUAGCCUGGUAUCGCGCCUGCUUUGGGAGCAGGAGGUCCUCGGUUCAAAUCCGGGCGCCCCGACCA
Molecule: transfer RNA, 77 nt
Filed under: Acidobacteriota bacterium
Lineage: Bacteria; Pseudomonadati; Acidobacteriota
Also listed under: 2 other names
Description: Acidobacteria bacterium tRNA-Pro
Rfam family: tRNA
About the family: Transfer RNA (tRNA) molecules are approximately 80 nucleotides in length. Their secondary structure includes four short double-helical elements and three loops (D, anti-codon, and T loops). Further hydrogen bonds mediate the characteristic L-shaped molecular structure. tRNAs have two regions of fundamental functional importance: the anti-codon, which is responsible for specific mRNA codon recognition, and the 3' end, to which the tRNAs corresponding amino acid is attached (by aminoacyl-tRNA synthetases). tRNAs cope with the degeneracy of the genetic code in two manners: having more than one tRNA (with a specific anti-codon) for a particular amino acid; and 'wobble' base-pairing, i.e. permitting non-standard base-pairing at the 3rd anti-codon position.
Source: RNAcentral